AGAUUGAACGCUGGCGGCAUGCCUAACACAUGCAAGUCGAACGGGAGUAGCAAUACUCUAGUGGCGGACGGGUGAGGAAUACGUAGGAAUUUGCCCUUAAGUGGGGGAUAACCCGGGGAAACCCGGAUUAAUACCGCAUGACCUCGAAAGAGCAAAGUGGGGGAUCGCAAGACCUCACGCUUUUGGAGAAGCCUACGUCGGAUUAGCUAGUUGGUGAGGUAAUGGCUCACCAAGGCGACGAUCCGUAACUGGUCUGAGAGGAUGAUCAGUCACACCGGAACUGAGACACGGUCCGGACUCCUACGGGAGCCAGCAGGUGGGGAAUAUGGACAAGUGGGCGCAAGCCUGACUCCAGCAAUGCCGCGUGUGUGAAGUAAGGCCUUGGUUGUAAAGCUAACGUUUAAGGUAGGGAAGAAAAACCGUCGACUACUAAC
This 434-nucleotide ribosomal RNA is filed under the name uncultured soil bacterium. RNAcentral describes it as "bacterial SSU rRNA". It matches the Rfam family "Bacterial small subunit ribosomal RNA", at positions 26 to 465 of the family's 1533-position model. The record is from RNAcentral.